AUGGCUCGGCGGGUUACUGGCUUACCCCGGUCGGCGUGCUUCAUCUCUUUGCUCAUAGUACUACUACGACAGGUCACUGCCGCGGAGACAGUGAAAGUGAGCACCACGCCGGUAUUCCCUUCAAUCCCGUGGGGGCAAGAGAACGAUGAUUUCGAGGUGCUGGUGCGUGUGGAGGCGCCGCCGGAGGCAAGCAGGCGAUCCCCCGUCGACCUAGUGGCCGUGCUGGAUAUCAGCAGCAGCAUGAAUACUCGGGCGGCGCCAUCCGAUGAGUCAUCGAGGCUGGAUCUGCUCAAACGAGCGAUGAAGUUCAUCAUCGGGAAGCUCGACAGCGGAGACCGCCUAGCUAUCGUGGCGUUCAACAACCAAAUCGUCGAAGAGUAUGGCACCAGGUUACUGGACAUGUCGUCCGGUGGCCGGAGAGAUGUAAGAAGGCGGGUCGAUGAGCUGACGGCGCGCGGCUCCACGGCGUUCCGGCCGGGCCUGUGUAAGGCGGUGAAGAUCCUCGACGAGAGAAGUGACGGAAGGAACCGUGCCGGCUUCAUCUUGUUCCUGUCGGAUGGAAAAGACAAGAGAGGAAUCAAGUGGAGCAUGGAAGUCGGGAUCAGCGCCGCGCUCCGGAAGUACCCCGUCCAUACCUUCGGCUUCAGCGGGUCUCACAAACCCAACGCGCUGCUCUUCAUCGCCCAGGAGUCGCGGGGAACCUACUCCUUCAUCAACGAGAACCUGGCCAGCAUCACCAGCGCCUUCGCCGUCUGCCUGGGCGGGCUCAAGAGCGUCGUCGCCGUCGACGAGCGCAUCAGCCUUGUGGCCCCGAAGCAUGGCGGGGUGCAGCUCAAGAGCAUCGACUCCGGUGGGUACGGGAGCCACAUCUCCGGAGACGGGGCGUCGGGCGAGAUCGUGAUCGGCGCGAUGUACGCCGGCGAGGUGAAGAACUUCAUCGUCCGCCUGCACGUGCCGUCGGUGGAUCUGGACAUCGGCAAUGGCAAAGUUGCCGUCUCAAAGCACCAGCUCCUGCUCACGGCCACACGCCACUUGCAUGCUGUCAAUGGGGUUGGGGAGAACGGCGGCAGCGCAUCACUGUCAGUCCAAAGGCCCGGAGCACUGGCCGUGCAGCAGCAAGUCGUUGCAUCCGCCUUGGUAGUGAACCACAUCGUCCGGUUCAGGUUGGUGGAGAUGGUGGCCAAGUUCGUCCAGGGCCUGGACAAGGUCGUCGCCACCAUUGAUCGCGUAAGGCCGACGAGUUGCAGGGGAGGUGGGAGGAAUUCAAGGAAGCGCACAAGUUUUGGGGCGGCGUUGAGCUGUGGCGUUUCGAGGCCGACAUCAAAGUGA
This 1329-nucleotide ribosomal RNA is filed under the name Triticum aestivum (bread wheat). RNAcentral's name for it is "partial small subunit ribosomal RNA". Lineage: Eukaryota; Viridiplantae; Streptophyta; Magnoliopsida; Poales; Poaceae. The record is from RNAcentral.